RNAcentral lists this ribosomal RNA (489 nucleotides) under uncultured bacterium. RNAcentral's name for it is "bacterial SSU rRNA". It matches the Rfam family "Bacterial small subunit ribosomal RNA", at positions 9 to 465 of the family's 1533-position model. The record is from RNAcentral.
GAGUUUGAACCUGGCUCAGGACGAACGCUGGCGGCGUGCCUAAUACAUGCAAGUCGAGCGAGCUUGCCUAGAUGAUUUUAGUGCUUGCACUAAAUGAAACUAGAUACAAGCGAGCGGCGGACGGGUGAGUAACACGUGGGUAACCUGCCCAAGAGACUGGGAUAACACCUGGAAACAGAUGCUAAUACCGGAUAACAACACUAGACGCAUGUCUAGAGUUUGAAAGAUGGUUCUGCUAUCACUCUUGGAUGGACCUGCGGUGCAUUAGCUAGUUGGUAAGGUAACGGCUUACCAAGGCAAUGAUGCAUAGCCGAGUUGAGAGACUGAUCGGCCACAUUGGGACUGAGACACGGCCCAAACUCCUACGGGAGGCAGCAGUAGGGAAUCUUCCACAAUGGACGAAAGUCUGAUGGAGCAACGCCGCGUGAGUGAAGAAGGGUUUCGGCUCGUAAAGCUCUGUUGGUAGUGAAGAAAGAUAGAGGUAGUAAC